RNAcentral lists this ribosomal RNA (254 nucleotides) under uncultured bacterium. RNAcentral's name for it is "partial 16S ribosomal RNA". It matches the Rfam family "Bacterial small subunit ribosomal RNA", at positions 524 to 777 of the family's 1533-position model. The record is from RNAcentral.
UACGGAGGGAGCUAGCGUUGUUCGGAAUUACUGGGCGUAAAGCGCACGUAGGCGGCUAUUCAAGUCGGGGGUGAAAGCCCGGGGCUCAACCCCGGAACUGCCCUCGAAACUAGAUAGCUAGAAUCUUGGAGAGGCGAGUGGAAUUCCGAGUGUAGAGGUGAAAUUCGUAGAUAUUCGGAAGAACACCAGUGGCGAAGGCGACUCGCUGGGCAAGUAUUGACGCUGAGGUGCGAAAGCGUGGGGAGCAAACAGGG